AAGUUAUCACGAAAGGCGGAGGGAAAAGACCCAAUGAAACCUUAGCAACCUCUCGUCCUUACGAGAAAGGUGCUACAUUCUACCACGCAUCGCGGGGAUAGAUAACAC
RNAcentral lists this non-coding RNA (108 nucleotides) under Flavobacterium sp. RNAcentral's name for it is "SAM-I sequence". It matches the Rfam family "SAM riboswitch aptamer (S box leader)". Rfam says of the family: The SAM riboswitch is found upstream of a number of genes which code for proteins involved in methionine or cysteine biosynthesis in Gram-positive bacteria. Lineage: Bacteria; Pseudomonadati; Bacteroidota; Flavobacteriia; Flavobacteriales; Flavobacteriaceae. The record is from RNAcentral.